UGUUGGGGCUGGGUACAUGGACCAUGGUACAUGAAAACGAGAUUGGUAUCACCGGGCAGUACGACGCCACAGUACUCUAGAAGCUCGUCGGCUGUUCCCCAGUCCCCACGUUCUGGAUUCCGGCGAUUCGGCUGGCGGCUAGGCAAGGAAGGCGGCGCGGGUGCACUGCAGGCCACCAGGCGAGAUACCGGCGACGGCUAUGGACUCCUCCCUGGAACCAGUGAGCAGCUGAUGGAGCCGCGAAUGGUGAAGCAAGGGUGCAGACGUUGCGUACAAACCAUAUGGCAGGUCGGUUGACCUGGAUCCAUCUGUGGUGGGCAUCGCCGAAGCAGCAGGUGCCGGCGAGGGAGAAGGUGACGGGCAGACUGAUACCGCGCAGUGCAAUGUAAAUAUGAAUCAAGCAUCAACGGACUGGACUAAGAGAUAAUUAUUUCUGCCCAAAAGAUGCUGUACAUAUUUGCAUUGUGACAGUGGAGAAAAUGUCUGCUAGACUCUAUCUACUAGCGAGUGGAUUAAAAUACAGAUGUUUACCUUCACACAAACUGUCUCACAAUUCUAACAAACAUGGGCCUUCAUGCCCGUAGGCCAAGUGUGUAUGCAUCUCAAAGGCUGGUUAGCCUCUUCGACAUGCUUUCCCACAAGAAUGUCAAAUUAGCUUAGUUAAAAAAAUGACAAGGGUCUCAAAGUCAUAUCUGAUCAAAUUGAAGCAGACAUCAUCUCAGAUGAUAUGGUACUUUACAGUUAUCUUACAUCGUAAUAGCACCAUUGUUUAUGUUUUCCUUUGUAUAAUUGUAAACAGUGGUUUACUUUUCUAGUCAACAGAGCUUCACAUAUACAAUGACUUCUGAAAUCUUUUUGGAAAACAUAAAAGCAAUCCUUACAUAUGAAUUGCCCAGAAAUUCCAAGAUAUGGUAGUUACCAAUGCAGUUUACCUGAUAGGUAGAACCAAACUGCUUCUAACAUGUUCAUGAACAGGUUAUGUAUGCGAUAUUGCACCGCCAAGAGGGUUUUGAGCCCUUUAAGAGCCACCCUCGUUUCAAUGAAUUGCUUGAGAAUAUUUACACAUUAUGUCUUAUUGUACAACACUUCAUAAUUUUCUUUUCUCCAGAUUCUGUCCAUAUUCCAUCUUCCUGAAUUUGUCUGUUAGGUAUUCGAUUUUGAAUAGACAUGGACAAGAUUCUUGACCUCAUUAACAAACAUUACCGUUCAUGGCGUGGAGAAGGAAUGAAGUUAGGAUUUAUAUAUGAGCAAGAAAGUCAGCCUGAGGAAUUCUUCACUUUCCAUAUGUUUGGUGGCUUAUCCUAUCACUGAGGCUGCCUUAUCGCAUCAGUGUUAUUCUUGCAAAUCUCCAGCAUGGUCUACUGAUUUGGAAUGGGCGUUGUUUGUAUUUUCACCUUGUGUGAUCUACAUGCACAUGAGAACAGAGGUCUGACUUGUUUGAGAGCAUCCAUCAUUAUUUUCCAGUUUGGUCAGUCAAAGUUUAGUUACUCCAUGAUGUGCAUCAUUGAUUGUGAGGAUAACCAUAUAAUCAUUUUCUCAGGUGCUGGAAGAAUCUGAUUUAGAAUUCUGAUAUGAUUGGGUUCAGCAUUUGACUCAGUGUUUCUCUGAGCUUCAGGUUGUCGUAACUGCCGGCGACGAUGAGCAUAAAUAGGCGGCGAUACGAAUAUGAGGAGACGGAGAAGUGGUUGGUCAUGUGCGCCUGCUCACCCUGGGCUUGAAGAAGAGGUCAACGAGGUGUAGUGCUCAGAGCUUUCCAGAAUUUUCCGUGGCGUCGAUGGCCAAAGUGUACGACGUCAAGCUCGCAGUCAUCGAUCUGCUGCUUCCUGGCACGAUCCAGAGGGCGGUGACAUGGAGGGCAGAACUAGGCUUGGCUGACGGAGGAGCUUGGGUGCUCCGGCGGCGUGGUCGAUGAGGAAGAGGCGGCGGAGGACAAGCUCCCAUCGGGGAUGGAAACAAGAAUGUGGCGACGAGGCCAGGGCAGGAACGGGAGCGGCGUGGCCUUGUUCCCCGCGCCGGAACUAGCCCUAGCGCGGCCUUGCUCGAGCCCUUCGUUGGCGAGACGUGGCAGUAUGAUGGAGCUCUGCAUGGAGCAUGGCGAACCCUGCAGGAGACCUCCGACAGGUGUGGCGACCCCGCGGGAGCCCUCCGACGGCAAGCGGAGCGUGGGCGGACUGCUAGAAGGAUAGAGAAGAUUUGAGUUCAAUUUUCUAAUUUUUAGGCCUAAUUUAAGCGGUUUUGGAUGUGUGAAGGAGUUCUUUUUUUUUUUUUUUGCAAAAUCCUACUUGUACUGUUUACUGGGCUGCAUUACUCGACGCGUGGCAUCAGGCAGUGCGUCGUUUGGGCCAAGAAGACAUGCGGUCCAAGACAGUGGCGUUGGUCCGGGCGUUGUCAAACCAUCUGUGCCGGCAAUAGGGAGACGACUGGAUCGUACUCAAUGCUGUGGCUAGUGGGCCAUUGAACACUAUUCAGAAAUGGGAAUACUGAGAUCAAUACAUGACAACA
Long non-coding RNA from Lolium perenne, 2502 nucleotides. RefSeq lists it as uncharacterized. The record is from RefSeq and is a predicted model, not a curated record. NCBI's taxonomy places the organism in Eukaryota, Viridiplantae, Streptophyta, Magnoliopsida, Poales, Poaceae.